CCUCAAUAGUCUCAGUAAUUCUGGGAAACAGGUGUUAAUACUCUCAUUCGGAAGAGAAGUAACUGAGGGACCAGAAGCUUAAACAAGAUUCAAACCCAGACAAGUGAUUCCAAAACCUGUUGCUUCCUAAAAUUCCCACUGGUUGUGUUUUGAUGUGUUCCCUAGCUCCAGGAGACAGAAGGAUGGUGUUUUGUCUUUAUCCUGGAGUUAUAUGAGCCUGGAGUCUCCACUUAUUAUUCCUCAAAAGCUCUCUGCUCCCUUAGCAGCCUCGCUCAAUGUCCAGGCUCGGGCUGAUGUUUGCAGAGGGACCAUGUGGAGAUCACUGUGAAAAUACUAACACCUGGGUUUUUUUUCUGAGCCUGUGCCAAGUGUGCAUCUC
RNAcentral lists this long non-coding RNA (379 nucleotides) under Bos taurus (domestic cattle). RNAcentral's name for it is "long non-coding RNA NONBTAT019726". The record is from RNAcentral. Lineage: Eukaryota; Metazoa; Chordata; Mammalia; Artiodactyla; Bovidae.